AAUAGCGUAUAUUAAGUUGCUGCAGUUAAAAAGCUCGUAGUUGGAUUUCUGGCACGAUGCGCCUGGCCCGCCACGGUUUCGCGUGUGAGUGCCGGGUCGGAUCUGCCAUCCUUCCAGAGAACGGUCCUACCCUUCACUGGGCCGGGGCCGCAAUCUGGAUCGUUUACUUUGAAAAAAUUAGAGUGUUUCAAGCAGGCGACUCGCUGUGAAUACAUUAGCAUGGAAUAAUAACUUAGGACUUCGGUUCUAUUUUGUUGGUUUCUAGGACUGAAGUAAUGAUUGAUAGGGAUAGUUGGGGGUGCUAGUACUCAGUGGCCAGAGGUGAAAUUCUCGGAUUCACUGAAGACUAACUUAUGCGAAAGCAUUCACCAAGGAUGUCUUCUUUAAUCAAGAACGAAAGUUGGGGGAUCGAAGACGAUCAGAUACCGUCGUAGUCUCAACUAUAAACUAUGCCGACUAGGGAUGAGUGAACGUUGCAUUUUCGACUUCAUUCGCACCUUAUGAGAAAUCAAAGUCUUUGGGUUCCGGGGGGAGUAUGGUCGCAAGGCUGAAACUUAAAGGAAUUGACGGAAGGGCACCACCAGGAGUGGAGCCUGCGGCUUAAUUUGACUCAACACGGGAAAACUUACCAGGUCCAGACAUAGUGAGGAUUGACAGAUUGAAGAUCUUUCUUGA
This 675-nucleotide precursor RNA is filed under the name uncultured Cercozoa. RNAcentral's name for it is "partial 18S ribosomal RNA". It matches the Rfam family "Eukaryotic small subunit ribosomal RNA", at positions 593 to 1265 of the family's 1831-position model. The record is from RNAcentral. Lineage: Eukaryota; Cercozoa.